GACGAACGCUGGCGGCGUGCCUAAUACAUGCAAGUAGAACGCACAGUUUAUACCGUAGCUUGCUACACCAUAGACUGUGAGUUGCGAACGGGUGAGUAACGCGUAGGUAACCUGCCUGGUAGCGGGGGAUAACUAUUGGAAACGAUAGCUAAUACCGCAUAAUAUUAAUUAUUGCAUGAUAAUUAAUUGAAAGGUGCAAUUGAACCACUACCAGAUGGACCUGCGUUGUAUUAGCUAGUAGGUGAGGUAACGGCUCACCUAGGCGACGAUACAUAGCCGACCUGAGAGGGUGAUCGGCCACACUGGGACUGAGACACGGCCCAGACUCCUACGGGAGGCAGCAGUAGGGAAUCUUCGGCAAUGGACGAAAGUCUGACCGAGCAACGCCGCGUGAGUGAAGAAGGUUUUCGGAUCGUAAAGCUCUGUUGUAAGAGAAGAACGGGUGUGAGAGUGGAAAGUUCACACUGUGACGGUAUCUUACCAGAAAGGGACGGCUAACUACGUG
RNAcentral lists this ribosomal RNA (505 nucleotides) under uncultured bacterium. RNAcentral describes it as "partial 16S ribosomal RNA". It matches the Rfam family "Bacterial small subunit ribosomal RNA", at positions 28 to 507 of the family's 1533-position model. The record is from RNAcentral.